RNAcentral lists this ribosomal RNA (468 nucleotides) under uncultured bacterium. RNAcentral describes it as "partial 16S ribosomal RNA". It matches the Rfam family "Bacterial small subunit ribosomal RNA", at positions 28 to 507 of the family's 1533-position model. The record is from RNAcentral.
GACGAACGCUGGCGGCGUGCUUAACACAUGCAAGUCGAACGGAAAGGCCCUGCUUUUGUGGGGUGCUCGAGUGGCGAACGGGUGAGUAACACGUGAGUAACCUGCCCUUGACUUUGGGAUAACUUCAGGAAACUGGGGCUAAUACCGGAUAGGAGCUCCUGCUGCAUGGUGGGGGUUGGAAAGUUUCGGCGGUUGGGGAUGGACUCGCGGCUUAUCAGCUUGUUGGUGGGGUAGUGGCUUACCAAGGCUUUGACGGGUAGCCGGCCUGAGAGGGUGGCCGGCCACAUUGGGACUGAGAUACGGGCCAGACUCCUACGGGAGGCAGCAGGGGGGAAUAUUGCACAAUGGGCGGAAGCCUGAUGCAGCAACGCCGCGUGCGGGAUGACGGCCUUCGGGUUGUAAACCGCUUUCGCCUGUGACGAAGCGUGAGUGACGGUAAUGGGUAAAGAAGCACCGGCUAACUACGUG